Molecule: long non-coding RNA, 687 nt
Filed under: Homo sapiens (human)
Lineage: Eukaryota; Metazoa; Chordata; Mammalia; Primates; Hominidae
Description: HSALNT0345836
Source: RNAcentral
AAAGAUUGGCCCAUGAACAAUCAGAGGCUGAAGUGGAAACUCCUGUCUUGUUAUCAUAGGAGCCAGGAUGUGGCCUGUGUGCUGCCCAGUCUUGCCUGGAACUGGCUGCACCUGCUGUUCUUCCAAGUAUGACUUAACCCUUGGUUACCCUAAUUCUGUAUUCUCCUGCCUCAGUGGGAGGUGAUUGGAUCAUGGGAACGGAUUUCCUCCUUGCUGUUCUCACGCUAGUGAGUGAGUUCUCACGAGAUCCGAGCAUUUAAUAGUGUGUGGCUCCUCCUGCUUCGCUCUCCUGCUGCCAUAGGAAGGUGUGCUUGCUACUCCUUUGCCUUCUGCCAUGAUUGUGAGUUUCCUGAGACCUCCUAGUCAUGCUUCCUGUUCAGCCUGCAGAACUAGGCUCUAGAACAGAGAUUGCACACACGGCCACACUUCUUAUGCUCAUACCCAUUACUGCAUCUAGAUGGAAGCAGACCUGGAAGAGGAAACACUGAACUAGACCAUAAGCUGCUCGGAAGCAAGCACCAUGCCUAUUGACCGUCAUGGCUCUGUCUCCAGGCUCAUGAAUGAAUGGUAACAGGGGCCAGGCGCAGUGGCUCACACCUGUAAUCCCAGCACGUUGGGAGGCCAAGGCAGGUGGAUCACCUGAGGUCAGGAGUUCAAGACCAGCCUGGCUAACAUGGUGAAACCCCA